AUGUCCCCAUCCUCUUCCUCGCCCUGGCACCUGGCUGCCUGCCAGUAUUGGUCUGCCUUCAGACUGAGCCAGCUGGGGGUGCUAAACGGGCAGAAGCCAUCCAUUUUGUUGGUUGUGUCAAUCUUUUGCGGUUUCAGGGCCCUCAGCUGGCUCCCUGAAUGGUCAAGGCAGAAAAAACACGAGCAUGAAGCCAGGGAAAAGAGGGAACGAGGUUUCUGUUACGCUUGAAGUGCUCUGUGUGUACGUUUGGAUGAAGUAUCGCUCCAGCCUGAGUUCCCAGCUCCCGCUCCAGCCCCGGUCCUGGCAGAGGUUUGCAGAGCUCGCAGCGAGUGAGUGACAAUCGUCUGGAGGAGACCCACGGCAUCUGCGAGCCUGGCGAGAGCCAUCGUAAGCUGCGGUCGGCUCUCCUCGCUGUUUCUCUUUGUCUGACACACGCCUGUGCCAUGUAGAGAAAAUGUCGCACACCUAACCGGGAGCUUUCUGUCAACAGCACUAGAGGAGAUUGGGGCUGGCUCCGUCCUCGCUGGUUGUGGAGUGGAAGAUACUCUGCUGGUAUACACCGAAAGAUCUUUGCCUUGUCUUCAGUUCCUCACAGAGAGAGAAAGGAAGGUGCUUGUCUAACAUUUAUUCUUGAAAAUCCAUCGAGGAACGCACAGCUUACAAGGGUUUUACUGAGUCAGAGACACUUCUGCAGAAAGCGGCCUGGUUAACUCCGCUCAACCCCAGCACUCUCACGAGGUUUAAGCAUGCAUAACACUGAAGUAAAACGGCCUCACAGUGUCUUACCCAGCCACGGUUUUUGGGCAUUCAGCAACAUUAUCUUCUAGUAUGUACAAAGGCCUAUAGCAAAAAGUUGUACUUAAACAUAAAGCUGACAUAGCCCCACUAAGAUGUUACAGCCAUCUUGGCUAGCAGGUCACAGAGACCAAGGGGGCACAAUGCUUCUUUGGCGUGAGUUAAUCAGUUCAGAAAACCAAAAUAAAGCUUCAUUAAAUAGAAAUAAAGAAAAGACU
This 1013-nucleotide long non-coding RNA is filed under the name Anser brachyrhynchus (Pink-footed goose). Its description in RNAcentral is "lncRNA (ENSABRG00000008365.1)". The record is from RNAcentral. Lineage: Eukaryota; Metazoa; Chordata; Aves; Anseriformes; Anatidae.